Molecule: ribosomal RNA, 1198 nt
Filed under: Alcaligenes faecalis
Lineage: Bacteria; Pseudomonadati; Pseudomonadota; Betaproteobacteria; Burkholderiales; Alcaligenaceae
Description: bacterial SSU rRNA
Rfam family: Bacterial small subunit ribosomal RNA
Source: RNAcentral
CGGAUAACAAAGUUUCGUUGGUUGCGUCUCCUGCUUCGCACAGACAGCUCGCAUAACGUUGCUGGCGAGUGGCGGACGGGUGACUAAUAUAUCGGGAACGUGCCCAGUUGCGGGGGAUAACUACUCGAAAGAGUGGCUAAUACCGUCUACGCCCUACGGGGGAAAGGGGGGGAUCGCAAGACCUCUCACUAUUGGAGCGGCCGAUAUCGGAUUAGCUAGUUGGUGGGGUAAAGGCUCACCAAGGCAACGAUCCGUAGCUGGUUUGAGAGGACGACCAGCCACACUGGGACUGAGACACGGCCCAGACUCCUACGGGAGGCAGCAGUGGGGAAUUUUGGACAAUGGGGGAAACCCUGAUCCAGCCAUCCCGCGUGUAUGAUGAAGGCCUUCGGGUUGUAAAGUACUUUUGGCAGAGAAGAAAAGGUAUCCCCUAAUACGGGAUACUGCUGACGGUAUCUGCAGAAUAAGCACCGGCUAACUACGUGCCAGCAGCCGCGGUAAUACGUAGGGUGCAAGCGUUAAUCGGAAUUACUGGGCGUAAAGCGUGUGUAGGCGGUUCGGAAAGAAAGAUGUGAAAUCCCAGGGCUCAACCUUGGAACUGCAUUUUUAACUGCCGAGCUAGAGUAUGUCAGAGGGGGGUAGAAUUCCACGUGUAGCAGUGAAAUGCGUAGAUAUGUGGAGGAAUACCGAUGGCGAAGGCAGCCCCCUGGGAUAAUACUGACGCUCAGACACGAAAGCGUGGGGAGCAAACAGGAUUAGAUACCCUGGUAGUCCACGCCCUAAACGAUGUCAACUAGCUGUUGGGGCCGUUAGGCCUUAGUAGCGCAGCUAACGCGUGAAGUUGACCGCCUGGGGAGUACGGUCGCAAGAUUUAAAACUCAAAGGAAUUGACGGGGACCCGCACAAGCGGUGGGAUGAUGUUGAUUUAUUUCGAUGCAACGCGAAAAACCUUACCUUACCCUUGACAUGGUCUGGUAAAGUCCGAAAAGAAUUUUGGCCCGUGCUCGCCAAGAGAACCGUAACCACAAUGUUGUCUUGCAAUGGACUUGUCGUCAGCUCCGUGUCAUGAGGAUGUUGGAUCAAGAUCCCGGCAAACGAGGCGCACCCUGUGUCAUUUAGGUUGCUUACGGCAGAACCACUCUCUAAUGAAACUGCCUGCUGACUAUCCUGUACGGUAAAUGCUUGUUGAUAUGAACAG